RNAcentral lists this small RNA (3250 nucleotides) under Pan troglodytes (chimpanzee). RNAcentral describes it as "sense overlapping". The record is from RNAcentral. Lineage: Eukaryota; Metazoa; Chordata; Mammalia; Primates; Hominidae.
CUCUUUUUUCGCUUGCAAUUUAUUGAAGAUAGGGGAUUGUCUUAGGGAGUUCCUACAACAUAGAUUAUGCUGAUGAUGUCAGCACAUAUGAUUGUUCAACAUUGUUCACAUGAGCUGUUCAACAUUACUUAAUGACUUGAAAAUAUUUUUUAUUAGUUGUAGAAAACUCAACAAUUUUCAAAUAUUGCUUUGGCUACAUUCACCUUCAUUCCUUUGGGAUUCCACUUAACAUUUAUUAGGUCUUUUUGCUUAAUUCCCUAUGUCUCUUCUAUACUUUCCUGUAUUUUCUACUCUUGUGUCUCCCUUCACUCCAAGAAUUUACUUCUUUUUUGUUUGUUUGUUUGUUUUUGAGACAGGGUCUCGCUCUGUCGCCCAGGCUGGAGUGCAGUGGCAUGAUCUUAGCUCACUGCAACCUCCGCCUCCGGGGUUCAAGCAAUUCUCCUGCCUCAGCCUCCUGAGUAGCUGGGAUUACAGGCACCCACCACCACACCCAGCUAAUUUUUGUAUUUUUAGUGGAGAUGGGGUUUCACCAUGUUGGUCAGGCUGGUCUUGAACUCUUGACCUCAGGUGAUCCACCCGCCUCGGCCUCCCUAAGUGCUGGGAUUACAGGCAUGAGCCACUGUGUUUGGCCAGAAUUCUGACCUAUAUAACAGUUUAUCAACUUUUUUCAUCUAUGUCUAAUUUUAAAAAUCAAUUUAUUGAAUUCUCAAUUUCAGUAUAUUUUUUUCAGGUUGACACAGUUAUUUUAAAGCCUGUGUCUGAUAAGUUGAUCAUGUGGUUCCCCUGUGGGUCGUGGGUCUGUUUCUGUUUUUCAUGAUGUUGACUUCUCUCCUGGUAUACCUGGUGGUGGCAGUGGUGGCUUUGUGUGUUGAUACUGGAUGGGAGAAAUAGUAGGAAUUACUUCGAGGGAGGAUGAUGUUUUCUCUUCCUUCAGAAAGGAUUUACUUUUGUUUCUGGGGGAUGGGUAGGGGUAUUUAUGAUCCUGGAUCACUUUAAUCCAGAAAGGGUUUGAGAUUUUGAAGUUGGAUUCAAUUCCAGAUUCUAGUUCAUCAUUAACUUGCACUGUGGUGGGGAAGAUCUCAGUCCAAAACCUGGAGUGCUGACCAGGGUCCCUUUUCCUUGGUGGGCCCUGAAGUCCUUUUUGUCUCCUAUCCCUGCAAGUUUUUUGAAACCUCUGCUCCCCUCUGAUCUACUUCAUCAGCAGAUGUCCCUAGGGGUUAGCAACCCCAAAUGCUAGGCUCACUUGUUUAAGUCUACUUCUUCACAAUUUUGUAAUUUUUCACUCCUUUGUUAGCAGUCUGAUGCUUUCAAGCAGCUGUUUUUGUUUUUCCAAGCUUCUUUCUCUCUCUCUCUCCUUCCUUCCUUCCUUCCUUCCUUCCUCCUUCCUUUCCUUUUCCUUUCCUUUUCCCCACCCCCGUCUCUCUCUCUCCAAGCAGCUGUUUUUGUUUUUCCAAGCUUCUUUCUCUCUCUCUUUCUCUUUCUUUAUUUCUCUGUCUCCCUCCGUCUUGUCUUUUCCUUUUCUUUUCUGUUGAGAUGGAGACUCACUCUGUCGGCACAUACCACCACACCCAGCUAAUUUUUUAUAUUUUUAGUGGAGACAGGGUUUCGCCAUGUUGGCCAGGUUAGUCUCGAACUCCUGACCUUAGGUGAUCCACCCACCUCGGCCUCCCAAAGUGCUGGGAUUAUAGGCAUGAGCCACUGCGCCCAGCCUGUUUUGCCAAGCUUUUCUGGUUGUUUUCCUUCAGUGAGAGAGUUGAUGGAUAUUACCUAGUCUGCCAUUACUGGACAUCAUUCUUUUUUACUCCAGCUUCUGAUCCUUAUAUAUAUAUUUUAUCUUAUAGGAAUGUGUACUAUUUAGUUUGCUUCCUUGUAAGAAGCUUUCAAAUGUCUCAUUUGCUGGUGCCUGUUCAAUUAAGCUUUGGAUAACAGUACAAAAUUUGGCCAACAUGAAUGCCUAGUUCACCGCUAAUGAAAGCUGGGCACUGCAAAUGUUCUGCUAUGCUCCAGAAAUCAGAAGUUGCCAGCUUUUAUAUCUAGACUGUGAUUUCCUCAUAGAGGAUUUUGUACAUGCCAAUUCAAAGUUUAAAUUUGUGCCAUGUGUGAAUAAGUGCACAAAAUGCUCAAAUAAGAAUGAGAAAAAUAUCUCCUUUUCCCAUCCACAUUGGGAUACCUGAAACAACUAUGAAAUACAGUUUUUCUUCCAGUUUUCCAAAAUACUUAUCUGGGUUGAGACCAAGAAUGGAGCAUUUUAGGCCAAAAUGCUUUUUUAAAAUUUUAUGAUUUAUGAGUUUAGAAAAAAUCUCUUUUGGACUUUAAGCAUAUGUUAUUUUUAGGAUAUCUUAUUCAUGAAUAAAACAAAUUUUUUACAUAGGUGAAAUAAUUUAGGUGUUUGUAUAUUAUGAGUCAGUUAUUUCUAUAAUAUAUGACUAGUUUAUAUUUGUAGUUUUUCAGUUACAUUCAGUAGCCCACAUUUGUUUAGUAACAGAAUUAACAAAAAUUGCUGUCAUUAUUUUGAGUUAAUUUUCAACUCGUAUUUUUAAUUUGCUAAAUACAUUCUAGCACUAUUAUAUUGUCAGAGACCUUAAUUCAAGUCUUUAUUUAUAAAAUUAUGUGAAAAAUUGAAAUUAUUUGAUGUUUUAAUUUUGAUUGCUCUGGACAAAGACAGUAUUUCCAUCUUGAUGCUUCAGGAUAAAAAUUGCGUUAAACAAUACUUGAAUUUAAGUGUGGUUUAAAAUAUUUCUUAAUUCUAAAGCUCUCUGUAGUUCCUAUUUUCUAAGCAAUAUUAGCUAUAUUGGAUCUUCUAGAUGAAGAAAGAUUUGACUAUGAUUAAAUAUGUGCAGUGCCAUCCUGGAAUAGAUUUUAUUCAUAGAUUAAUAAAAUAUGUGCAGCAUGAUUUAGGAGAAAAUAUUUUAGGACAUUAAAUUUAGUUACAUAAGCUACAGUCUGUUUUAAAUUCUGUGCAACCAAAAUCUGUUUUGCUUUAAAAAGAAAAAAUGUUCAUAUUUCACUGGGAAAUGUAGAGUAUUUGUUUUCCAAGACCAUCAAAAUCAUACCCAAUCAUACUUUUAGGAAAUUUUCAAAAUACUAGAUUUAGCCUUUCAACUUAAUGACGAUUGUUAUUGUCUAAUUUUCUUACCUGCACUUACAGUAUUAAGAACACUCUGAUUUGGUUACAUGUUUCUUAUAGUACCUCCUUGGUUCAAAUGUAAUUCUUUUCUGAUAUUGAAUAAACUGUAAUGUCAAGAACCUA